Molecule: ribosomal RNA, 830 nt
Filed under: Adalia bipunctata (two-spotted ladybird beetle)
Lineage: Eukaryota; Metazoa; Arthropoda; Insecta; Coleoptera; Coccinellidae
Description: partial 16S ribosomal RNA
Source: RNAcentral
GUCCCUUAAGAAUUUGAAUAUAUCCUAAUACUUUUCGCUCUAUUAAAGUUAAAAAAGCUACCCCUACUAAAAUACAAAUAAUUAAAAUUAAUAAAUUUAAAAUUAUUAAAAAUGUAUCUUUUAUUAUUAUUUGUAUAAUUAUACAUUAAAAGAUUCUAAAUCUAUCGCACUAUUCUGCCAAAAUAAUAAUUUUAUUCAAAUAUAAAAUUAUUAAUUAAAAUUUUGGUCCUUUCGUACUAAAAACUUUUAAUAUUUUAAAGAUAGAAACCAACCUGGCUUACACCGGUUUAAACUCAGAUCAUGUAAAGUUUCAAUGGUCGAACAGACCAAAUAUUUUAGCUUCUACACCAAAUAUUAACUUUAAUCCAACAUCGAGGUCGCAAUCUCUUUUUUCGAUUUGAACUCUAAAAAAAAAUAACGCUGUUAUCCCUAAGGUAAUUUAAUCUUUUAAUCAUUUAUAUGGAUCAUCUAAUCAUAAACUAAUGGUAUUAUAAAAAAAAAGUUAUAUUAAUUUUUUAAUCACCCCAAUCAAAUUAUAAAAAAAAAUUAAAUUUAAAAUUCUAAAAUUUAUAAAUAAUUAUUUAUAAUAAAACUCUAUAGGGUCUUCUCGUCUAUUAAAAAUAUUUAAGCUUUUUAACUUAAAAAUAAAUUUUUUCUAAAAAUUAAUUAUAGAAAGCUAUUUUCUCAUCAAACCAUUCAUACAAGCUUUCAAUUAAAAAACUAAUGAUUAUGCUACCUUUGCACAGUCAAAAUACUGCGGCCCUUCAAAAUUCAGUGGGCAGGCCCUACUUUAAAUUAUAUUCAAAAAGAGAUGUUUUUGUUAAACAGGC